Molecule: long non-coding RNA, 737 nt
Organism: Mustela erminea (ermine)
Lineage: Eukaryota; Metazoa; Chordata; Mammalia; Carnivora; Mustelidae
Exons: 4
Source: RefSeq, a predicted model, not a curated record
CCCGCGCGCAGGAGGCUCCCAGCCUCCACCCAUCCGAAUCAGCUCCCGGGACUGCGCGGCACCGGGAAGAGGUGGGCUGUUGGAAGUGAGGCAGAUAGCUCCAGUGUCUGCUGUAGGCAGGUGAUCUUUCCAUGUUAGUGCGUGGCAGAAACUGGGAAGACUCAAGAUCCUCUAGGUGAGCUGGGACAGGACGAAAACACGUGAAUGGGACCACCAGUGGCACUUAAGUCCCGGCAUUAUUGUGAGGAUUAGACAAAUGGAAGGUAGAAAUCACGACCUCAGAGUGUGCUCGGGUCCUCCCUUUGCCAUCUCGUAUGCAAAUUAAAUAAUCUGAGCAAUACCACUUUUUAAAAACACAUGCAUACAGAGAAAAACUGGAAAGAUGUACACCGAAAUUCCCAGAGGGCCUCUCUGCCUACUAGGAUUACCUGUGAUUUUAAUUGUUUUCUUUUUGCUUGUCUCUGUGUCUUCAAUUUCCUACAAUGUAUAUGUAUCAUGAUUGCAAUAAAGAAACAAUUGUUUUAAAAAAUGCAACUGGGACAAGUAGCAUGACUUCUGUAGUUCAUGUGCAAAUUCCAUGUAAUUUCACUUUACCUUAUUUAAUGUGACAAGUAUAUUUAUAAGCAAAAUACUUAAUAUUGUCAUCAAUCUUCCUACUGACGUUGUACGUGUUAAAAUUUGCUUUCGUGUUACAUUUUUUCAGAUUCACCCCGAUAUAGCCCAAUGAGUAAUUAAAA